GGUGUUUAUGUUUAUAUAUGUAUAUAUAUAUUUCAUAUCGUUUAAAUUAAACUAUACAUCAUAUGAAAAUACAUACUUAUAAUUUGAUAUCUGCGUUGAACAUAUAUUGAAAAGUUAAUAUUUUAGUUUUGAAAUCUUCAUUUUUUUUAAAUGAUUAUUAAUUAUUGAAGCCACUAAACAUUCCACAUUAAAAAAAAUCGUUGGUGUAAAAUUUUGUUACACAAAUAUGUAAAUAAUCAUAAAAUCAUAUGAGUAGAAACCUCAUUUAA
This 269-nucleotide long non-coding RNA is filed under the name Brassica napus (rape). RNAcentral describes it as "long non-coding RNA (BNAP_LNC002419)". The record is from RNAcentral. Lineage: Eukaryota; Viridiplantae; Streptophyta; Magnoliopsida; Brassicales; Brassicaceae.